GAGAUGAAUUCAGACCUGGUGAUCAUUGAAAACCUGGAUGAACUGAAUUAUCUUUUUUCACAAUCAAAAGGCCAUUACUACUUUCUUGGUCUCAUAUGCUCUGGCAGUGAGGAGAAGUGGAAGUGGAUUAACAACAUGGAACUCAACACAGACAUCUUUAAGGUUGAAGGAAAAUAUUCUGACUAUUGCUGUGCUGUUGUUGGACGUGACAGAAAGGUAGAAAGUGCAUCUUGCAGUGGAUCCUCAACCACACGAUAUAUGUGUGAGAAAGCUGCAAAUAUCUUAGAAGAGCAGAAGGAGAACUAAAAUCAAAAGGUCCAGACAAGCAUGUCAUCUCCCACUUCCUGUAGGAAUGGCAGGCAGGAUUUGUCUCCUUUAUCUUUAACUGUCUAAAUAUCAAGUCAAAGGGAUUCUCAGGCUCCCUCUGGACACCU
This is a long non-coding RNA of Calidris pugnax (ruff), 434 nucleotides long. RefSeq lists it as uncharacterized. Lineage: Eukaryota; Metazoa; Chordata; Aves; Charadriiformes; Scolopacidae. The transcript is spliced from 3 exons. The record is from RefSeq and is a predicted model, not a curated record.